This 699-nucleotide unclassified non-coding RNA is filed under the name Hevea brasiliensis (rubber tree). Lineage: Eukaryota; Viridiplantae; Streptophyta; Magnoliopsida; Malpighiales; Euphorbiaceae. The record is from RNAcentral.
UAAAAGCAGUAGUGUUUUGGUCUGCAAGAGAAGCGGGGUCAAUUAUAGAGUUAAGUGGAGUAUAUGAAAGUUUAUUCCAUAACUUGCUGAUUCAUUUUAUGCCAAAGAUGUAUAUACAACCAACCCAGUUGGAGCGCCAAUAUAUACUAUACAUGGUAGUAAAAAUCAAGCCAUCAAAGGUUUUCUUCUUCCAAAUCAAUGGGAAAUCACUUGAUAAAACUUAAAUAAAUUGUACAUUAAUGUCCAAAUCCAAAUAGGGUCCAUUAUGUGUUUGAACACAAAAGCUCCAUGACACAAGGUCUCAUCUAAUUUUCAUGUCUCUGUACAUAACAGUUACUAUGAAACUUUUAGGUUCUCGGUCAAUCAAUAUCAAUCAAAUCAAGCUCAGCCAAAUAAAAUAUCUUCAGUUUUUGGGGAAGUUGCAGGAUAUAAUUUAGAUAUAUAAGAUCUGGCUAGCAAAUUACACAUUAAUUCAUUUUAAUUCGAGUUUAUAUAAGUGAUUAAAUUGCUCUACACAUCAAAAUGACUAGUCAAGACAAUACAACAAUCUAACCACUUAUAUUCAUCCUUUCAUUUUUAUACUUUAUCGAUGUGGAAUUUAUAAUCCCAACACUCUCCCUUCAAGUACAACCACAUGGUUGUUACUUAACAAUUAGGGUGCAUUUGGUACAAGGUUAAAAAAUUGAGCUCACAUGAAAA